AGAACGAACGUUGGCGGCAUGGAUUAGGCAUGCAAGUCGAAUGAAUCCUGUAGCAAUACGGGGGAAAUGGCGAAAGGGGCAGUAAUACAUGGAUAACCUACCCUGGGGAUGGGCAUAGCCGGUCUAACGGCCGGGUAAUACCCAGAGAGUCGACGAUGUGGCAUCACAAUGUCGGGAAAUGAAUUUCGCCUCGGGAGGGGUCCAUGAGCUAUCAGCUAGUUGGUGGGGUAACGGCCCACCAAGGCUUAGACGGCUAGCGGGUGUGAGAGCACGACCCGCGCCACUGGCACUGAGACACUGGCCAGACGCCUACGGGUGGCUGCAGUCGAGGAUCUUCGUCAAGUGGGGGAAACCCUGAACG
This 361-nucleotide ribosomal RNA is filed under the name uncultured soil bacterium. RNAcentral describes it as "bacterial SSU rRNA". It matches the Rfam family "Bacterial small subunit ribosomal RNA", at positions 26 to 389 of the family's 1533-position model. The record is from RNAcentral.